This 494-nucleotide ribosomal RNA is filed under the name uncultured bacterium. RNAcentral's name for it is "bacterial SSU rRNA". It matches the Rfam family "Bacterial small subunit ribosomal RNA", at positions 30 to 524 of the family's 1533-position model. The record is from RNAcentral.
AUUAAACGCUGGCGGCAUGCCUUACACAUGCAAGUCGAACGGUAGCGCGGGGCAACCUGGCGACGAGUGGCGAACGGGUGAGUAAAGCAUCGGAACGUGCCCUGGAAUGGGGGAUAACGUAGCGAAAGUUACGCUAAUACCGCAUAUUCUGUGAGCAGGAAAGCAGGGGAUCGCAAGACCUUGCGUUCUGGGAGCGGCCGAUGUCGGAUUAGCUAGUUGGUGGGGUAAAGGCCUACCAAGGCGACGAUCCGUAGCGGGUCUGAGAGGAUGAUCCGCCACACUGGGACUGAGACACGGCCCAGACUCCUACGGGAGGCAGCAGUGAGGAAUAUUGGGCAAUGCACGAAAGUGUGACCCAGCAACGCCGCGUGGAGGAUGAAGGUAUUCUAAUAUCGUAAACUCCUGUGAGAGCAGACGAAAGACAGAUUAUUAAUUUGGAUGACUGUAUGCUCAGAGGAAGCCCCGGCUAACUACGUGCCAGCAGCCGCGGUAAU